Molecule: ribosomal RNA, 460 nt
Filed under: uncultured bacterium
Lineage: Bacteria
Description: partial 16S ribosomal RNA
Rfam family: Bacterial small subunit ribosomal RNA
Source: RNAcentral
CCUACGGGAGGCAGCAGUGAGGAAUAUUGGUCAAUGGGCGCUAGCCUGAACCAGCCAAGUCGCGUGAAGGAUGACUGCCCUAUGGGUUGUAAACUUCUUUUAUAUGGGAAUAAAGUGCAGUAUGUAUACUGCUUUGCAUGUACCUUAUGAAUAAGGAUCGGCUAACUCCGUUCCAGCAGCCGCGGUAAUACGGAGGAUCCGAGCGUUAGCCGGAUUUAUUGGGUUUAAAGGGAGCGUAGGCGGGUUGUUAAGUCAGUUGUGAAAGUUUGCGGCUCAACCGUAAAAUUGCAGUUGAUACUGGCAGCCUUGAGUACAGUAGAGGUAGGCGGAAUUCGUGGUGUAGCGGUGAAAUGCUUAGAUAUCACGAAGAACUCCGAUUGCGAAGGCAGCCUGCUGGACUGUAACUGACGCUGAUGCUCGAAAGUGUGGGUAUCAAACAGGAUUAGAUACCCCUGUAGUC